AGUGGGAUAGCUGGGUCAGAUGUUGGUUUUAUUCCAAGGUUUUAAAGGAAUCUUCAUACUGCUUUCUAGAUUGGUUGCACCAAUUUGCAGACCCACCAGCAAU
RNAcentral lists this microRNA precursor (103 nucleotides) under Marmota monax (woodchuck). The record is from RNAcentral. Lineage: Eukaryota; Metazoa; Chordata; Mammalia; Rodentia; Sciuridae.